This 253-nucleotide ribosomal RNA is filed under the name uncultured bacterium. Its description in RNAcentral is "partial 16S ribosomal RNA". It matches the Rfam family "Bacterial small subunit ribosomal RNA", at positions 524 to 776 of the family's 1533-position model. The record is from RNAcentral.
UACGGAGGGUGCAAGCGUUGUCCGGAUUUAUUGGGUUUAAAGGGUGCGUAGGCGGCUUAUCAAGUAGGGGGUGAAAGCCCCCGGCUUAACCGGGGAAUUGCGCCCUAAACUGACGAGCUGGAGUGGGACAGGGGUGUGUGGAACUUCCGGUGGAGCGGUGAAAUGUGUUGAUAUCGGAAGGAACGCCGGUGGCGAAAGCGACACACUGGGUCUCAACUGACGCUGAGGCACGAAAGCCAGGGGAGCGAACGGG